Molecule: long non-coding RNA, 1726 nt
Filed under: Arabidopsis thaliana (thale cress)
Lineage: Eukaryota; Viridiplantae; Streptophyta; Magnoliopsida; Brassicales; Brassicaceae
Description: long non-coding RNA (ATHA_LNC000205)
Source: RNAcentral
UUUCAUUUGUUUUUUAUUUUUAAGAAAAAACAAGAACAUCAAUCGUUAUAGUGGAUGAAAUCGAUAUUACUGAGUAAGAGGGGAUCUCUCGACCCUCAAUUGCCAUGAAAUAUUACUGGGUAAGAUAUCAUGUACCGCCUAAGCUUGCCGUUGGCUGUACCCUCAAUUGCCAAUAAAUCCUUUCCAUACCCGAGACUGUCUUAGUAUGAUAUUCACCUUCAGUUAUUAGAGUCUUUUCAUAUCACAUGAUAUCUUUCCCACACAUUUGAUGGGGGCAGUACUGUCUCAGAGAUAAAUGCAUAGGCCACACAAUGGGUCUUCCAGACUGCACAAGUACACUAGAGUAGAUUAUGAUGGAGCCAUAUUAUGGAUGGCUUAUAGUGGACUAGGUUUGUGGAAUCAGAGCAACAACAAAGCAGUGACUGUAGUAAAUACGAAUGAACGAGAUCAUAAGGUGAAUGAUGGCCAUUAUCCGUCACUCGGGCUCAAAGAAAGAAACCUUGAAGUAGAAAAACCAGGCUGCAGCUACCAACUUGGAGUAAAGGUAAAUUAGAUCCCAAUAUUCAAUACAUUGGUGCUGAAAUAAUUAAAGGUGCAAGCUUUUCAUAUGAAGAAGUGAAAGCAAAUAGAUACAAACAUGAUCAUGGAUAAGGUCGAGAACAGAUCUAGAGAAUGAUGGCGUUGGUCGUCUCGAUUCGAAAUUAUAUCGGAGUCACGAUUUUUUGGGUUAUCUAUCUAUCUAUAUAGAGAGAAAAAUAUAAAAGGAAAAUUACUAAAAAAACACACAGAUAAUUUCCAUUAACAUUAAUAAAGGAAACAAACCCAGAAAGUCAAAACGACAAUGGAACUUGUCGUUUUGAGUUCAUCCAAUGACACUGCUAAAUCUUGGUAGGCAUUGAUGCUGCUAUGUAUGUUGACAUCAUUGUAGAUAUCAGCAACGUUGUUCCACAUUCAAAACAAGAGCUGAGAAAAUGGAAGGAUAAAGAGUGGUGAUAAUGGAGUGAACAUAUAGAAAAUUCACGUAAGAAGCUUUCAAGGGUCGAAGGAGAAAGAAGCCGAGUCUAACAGAGUCAUAAGGAACGGGAAACAAACCCAAUCCCAUAGUCACAUAUAAGUGAGUUUGAUAUGACCAAGUUAAUAAAGGAAAUUACAUAAACUAGAUGACCAAGUUUGAUAUCUCAAAAUUUUCGUCAAUGAAGAUUACAAGUACAUGACUUUCAGCAACCAACUACAAGAUUAACCGGAAUUGAAAUUGUUUCAGGAAACAAAAGAUGGUCAGAGACGGCCGAUAAACUAAAGGUUCAAGCUUUCUCAAAAUUUUGGAUUGGUUAAAAGGUUUGUGCUUUACGCUCGAAUAAUUCAACUGCUGGAUUACACAGAAUGUUACAAACACAAAAUUGAAUGGAAGCAAGAGAAGCAGAGAGAGAGAGAGAGGAAAAAAAUAUAUAGAUUUGAGCAAAGCACACAGGCAUUAAGGAUAAUUCAGAGAGAGAUUUAGAACAUUCAAAGACAAAUACGAACCCGUGCGUGCGUGAUGGCGAAGGGCAAAAACAGGUACAGACUGAUUCGGGAUUUAGAUCGGAGUCUCCGAUGGAUUCAGAACUAAGUUUUUGGACUUCUGUUCCCGUCAAUUAGAGAUAAUAUAUACAGAUAAUUUCUUUUUCGAUGUAAAAAAAAAAGAAAUACAGUUUCCUUUUUUAUUUAAGACAAUGGAUAGUAAUUAGGA